AUUGAACGCUGGCGGCAGGCCUAACACAUGCAAGUCGAACGGUAACAGGAAGCAGCUUGCUGCUUCGCUGACGAGUGGCGGACGGGUGAGUAAUGUCUGGGAAGCUGCCUGAUGGAGGGGGAUAACUACUGGAAACGGUAGCUAAUACCGCAUAAUGUCGCAAGACCAAAGAGGGGGACCUUCGGGCCUCUUGCCAUCGGAUGUGCCCAGAUGGGAUUAGCUUGUUGGUGGGGUAACGGCUCACCAAGGCGACGAUCCCUAGCUGGUCUGAGAGGAUGACCAGCCACACUGGAACUGAGACACGGUCCAGACUCCUACGGGAGGCAGCAGUGGGGAAUAUUGCACAAUGGGCGCAAGCCUGAUGCAGCCAUGCCGCGUGUAUGAAGAAGGCCUUCGGGUUGUAAAGUACUUUCAGCGGGGAGGAAGGGAGUAAAGUUAAUACCUUUGCUCAUUGACGUUACCCGCAGAAUAAGCACCGGCUAACUCCGUG
Molecule: ribosomal RNA, 490 nt
Filed under: uncultured bacterium
Lineage: Bacteria
Description: partial 16S ribosomal RNA
Rfam family: Bacterial small subunit ribosomal RNA
Source: RNAcentral